GAUUAUGGCUCAGAACGAACGCUGGCGGCAGGCCUAACACAUGCAAGUCGAGCGCGCCCUUCGGGGUGAGCGGCGGACGGGUUAGUAACGCGUGGGAACGUACCCUUUGGUAGGGAAUAGCCACUGGAAACGGUGAGUAAUACCCUAUGAGCCCUUCGGGGGAAAGAUUUAUCGCCAAAGGAUCGGCCCGCGUUAGAUUAGGUAGUUGGUGGGGUAAUGGCCUACCAAGCCUACGAUCUAUAGCUGGUUUUAGAGGAUGAUCAGCAACACUGGGACUGAGACACGGCCCAGACUCCUACGGGAGGCAGCAGUGGGGAAUCUUGGACAAUGGGGGCAACCCUGAAUCCAGCCAUGCCGCGUGAGUGAAGAAGGCCUUAGGGUCGUAAAGCUCUUUCGCCUGUGAAGAUAAUGACGGUAGCAGGUAAAGAAACCCCGGCUAACUCCGUGCCAGCCGCCGC
RNAcentral lists this ribosomal RNA (458 nucleotides) under uncultured bacterium. Its description in RNAcentral is "bacterial SSU rRNA". It matches the Rfam family "Bacterial small subunit ribosomal RNA", at positions 15 to 518 of the family's 1533-position model. The record is from RNAcentral.